Molecule: ribosomal RNA, 571 nt
Filed under: uncultured Glomeromycotina
Lineage: Eukaryota; Fungi; Glomeromycota
Description: SSU rRNA
Rfam family: Eukaryotic small subunit ribosomal RNA
Source: RNAcentral
UUGGAGGGCAAGUCUGGUGCCAGCAGCCGCGGUAAUUCCAGCUCCAAUAGCGUAUAUUAAAGUUGUUGCAGUUAAAAAGCUCGUAGUUGAAUUUCGGGAUGGACACAUCGGUCGUGCCUUAAGGGGUAUGAACUGGUGUAGUCAAUUUCUCACCUUCUGGAGAACCGCGAUGCCCUUAAUUGGGUGUCACGGGGAACCAGGACCUUUACUUUGAAAAAAUUAGAGUGUUUAAAGCAGGCAUUUUGCUUGAAUACAUUAGCAUGGAAUAAUAAAAUAGGACGGCAUGAUUCUAUUUUGUUGGUUUCUAGGAUCACCGUAAUGAUUAAUAGGGAUAGUUGGGGGCAUUAGUAUUCAAUUGUCAGAGGUGAAAUUCUUGGAUUUAUUGAAGACUAACUACUGCGAAAGCAUUUGCCAAGGAUGUUUUCAUUAAUCAAGAACGAAAGUUAGGGGAUCGAAGACGAUCAGAUACCGUCGUAGUCUUAACCAUAAACUAUGCCGACUAGGAAUCAGACGAUGUUAAUUUUUUAAUGACUCGUUUGGCACCUUACGGGAAACCAAAGUGUUUGGGUUC